UCCGGCUUAUCACCGGCGGUUUCUUUAGAGUGCCCAACUAAAUGAUGGCAACUAAAGACGAGGGUUGCGCUCGUUGCGGGACUUAACCCAACAUCUCACGACACGAGCUGACGACAGCCAUGCAGCACCUGUGCACUGGCCCCGAAGGGCUGCCGUAUUUCUACGACAUUCCAAGGAUGUCAAGUCUGGGUAAGGUUCUUGGCUUAGCAUCCAAUUAAACAACACGCUCCACCGCUUGUGCGGGUCCCCGUCUAUUCCUUUGAGUUUUAAUCUUGCGACCGUACUCCCCAGGCGGGAUGCUUAAUGCGUUAGCUGCGCCACUGAAGAGCAAGCUCCCCAACGGCUAGCAUCCAUCGUUUACAGCGUGGACUAC
This 373-nucleotide unclassified non-coding RNA is filed under the name uncultured Alphaproteobacteria bacterium. Its description in RNAcentral is "contains 16S-23S intergenic spacer region". The record is from RNAcentral. Lineage: Bacteria; Pseudomonadati; Pseudomonadota; Alphaproteobacteria.